AAUAGAUACCCUGGUAGUCCUAGCCGUAAACGAUGAGCACUGGGUUGAAGGGUCCUCCAUAGCCUUUCAGCCGUAGCGAAAGUGUUAAGUGCUCCGCCUGGGGAGUAUGGUCGCAAGGCUGAAACUCAAAGAAAUUGACGGGGGCUCACACAAGCGGUGGAGGAUGUGACUUAAUUCGAGGCUACGCGAAGAACCUUAUCCUAGUCUUGACAUGCACGGAUUAACUCCCUGAAAGGGGAGCCACGCCUUCGGGUGGAACGUGCACAGGUGCUGCAUGGCUGUCGUCAGCUCGUGCUGUGAAGUGUCGGGUUAAGUCCCUUAACGAGCGAAACCCUUGUCGCUAGUUGCCAGCGAGUCAUGUCGGGGACUCUAGCGAGACCGCCGGUGUUAAACCGGAGGAAGGUGGGGAUGACGUCAAGUCCUCAUGGCCUUUAUGACUAGGGCUGCACACGUCCUACAAUGGCAUGCACAAAGGGACGCAAAGUCGCGAGACCAAGCAAAAUCCCAAAAAACAUGCCCCAGUUCGGAUUGCA
This 533-nucleotide ribosomal RNA is filed under the name uncultured bacterium. Its description in RNAcentral is "bacterial SSU rRNA". It matches the Rfam family "Bacterial small subunit ribosomal RNA", at positions 777 to 1302 of the family's 1533-position model. The record is from RNAcentral.